This 253-nucleotide ribosomal RNA is filed under the name uncultured bacterium. Its description in RNAcentral is "partial 16S ribosomal RNA". It matches the Rfam family "Bacterial small subunit ribosomal RNA", at positions 524 to 776 of the family's 1533-position model. The record is from RNAcentral.
UACAGAGGGGCCAAGCGUUGUUCGGAAUUACUGGGCGUAAAGGGCGCGUAGGCGGCCCGUUAAGUCGGACGUGAAAUCCCUGGGCUCAACCCAGGAACUGCGUCCGAUACUGGUUGGCUUGAAUCCGGGAGAGGGAUGUGGAAUUCCAGGUGUAGCGGUGAAAUGCGUAAAUAUCUGGAGGAACACCGGUGGCGAAGGCGACAUCCUGGACCGGUAUUGACGCUGAGGCGCGAAAGCCAGGGGAGCAAACGGG